CCUACGGGCGGCAGCAGUGAGGAAUAUUGGUCAAUGGACGAGAGUCUGAACCAGCCAAGUAGCGUGAAGGAUGACUGCCCUAUGGGUUGUAAACUUCUUUUAUAUGGGACUAAAAUGUUCCACGUGUGGGAUUUUGUAUGUACCAUAUGAAUAAGGAUCGGCUAACUCCGUGCCAGCAGCCGCGGUAAUACGGAGGAGCCGAGCGUUAUCCGGAUUUAUUGGGUUUAAAGGGAGCGUAGGUGGAUGGUUAAGUCAGUUGUGAAAGUUUGCGGCUCAACCGUAAAAUUGCAGUUGAAACUGGCAGUCUUGAGUACAGUAGAGGUGGGCGGAAUUCGUGGUGUAGCGGUGAAAUGCUUAGAUAUCACGAAGAACUCCGAUUGCGAAGGCAGUUCACUGGACUGCAACUGACACUGAGGCUCGAAAGUGUGGGUAUCAAACAGGAUUAGAUACCCGUGUAGUC
Molecule: ribosomal RNA, 460 nt
Filed under: uncultured bacterium
Lineage: Bacteria
Description: partial 16S ribosomal RNA
Rfam family: Bacterial small subunit ribosomal RNA
Source: RNAcentral